Molecule: unclassified non-coding RNA, 348 nt
Filed under: soil metagenome
Description: partial contains 5.8S ribosomal RNA, internal transcribed spacer 2, and large subunit ribosomal RNA
Rfam family: 5.8S ribosomal RNA (bases 1-120)
Source: RNAcentral
GAUGAAGAACGCAGUAAAAUGCGAUGAGUAAUGUGAAUUGCAGAAUUCAGUGAAUCAUCGAAUCUUUGAACGCACAUUGCGCCCGCUGGUAUUCCGGCGGGCAUGCCUGUUCGAGCGUCAUUUCAACCCUCAAGCCCCCGGGUUUGGUGUUGGGGAUCGGCUCUGCCCUUCUGGGCGGUGCCGCCCCCGAAAUACAUUGGCGGUCUCGCUGCAGCCUCCAUUGCGUAGUAGCUAACACCUCGCAACUGGAACGCGGCGCGGCCAUGCCGUAAAACCCCAACUUCUGAAUGUUGACCUCGGAUCAGGUAGGAAUACCCGCUGAACUUAAGCAUAUCAAUAAGCGGAGGA